CGGCAUGGGGAAGGAAGUGCAUCGAAUAGGGAAGGGAGGCAAAGCAUCGGCAACAUACCUGACCUAAGCCCUGAGCCGUCACUACCGCUCACCUCCAAUCGCAUCCCUGAGUCAUUGCCACCAGUCACCUCCAGUUGCCGCCCCACUAGUGCUAGCCCGGAAACAUUUCCUGAUCGUGUCCUCAUGUUUCUGAAGGGGAAACGCAGCCCCCUCCCAUUUCUGUGCAUCGUAGCCAUUCAUUGCACAUGGAUUGUUUACUUGGGAGGGAGCGUCAUUGUGGAUUGUUUGAACUUGCCCAAAUACCUAUUGUUUAUAAAUAAUUAGAAGAUUUUUAAGAUUAAAUUGUAAAAAUACUAGCAUAAUUUUAUAAAUAAAUUAAAUAAUUAUAAUUUUAUUAUUAAAA
Long non-coding RNA from Hevea brasiliensis (rubber tree), 403 nucleotides. RefSeq lists it as uncharacterized. Lineage: Eukaryota; Viridiplantae; Streptophyta; Magnoliopsida; Malpighiales; Euphorbiaceae. The transcript is spliced from 2 exons. The record is from RefSeq and is a predicted model, not a curated record.